RNAcentral lists this ribosomal RNA (497 nucleotides) under uncultured bacterium. Its description in RNAcentral is "partial 16S ribosomal RNA". It matches the Rfam family "Bacterial small subunit ribosomal RNA", at positions 28 to 507 of the family's 1533-position model. The record is from RNAcentral.
GAUGAACGCUGGCGGCGUGCCUAAUACAUGCAAGUCGAGCGAACGGACGAGAAGCUUGCUUCUCUGAUGUUAGCGGCGGACGGGUGAGUAACACGUGGAUAACCUACCUAUAAGACUGGGAUAACUUCGGGAAACCGGAGCUAAUACCGGAUAAUAUUUUGAACCGCAUGGUUCAAAAGUGAAAGACGGUCUUGCUGUCACUUAUAGAUGGAUCCGCGCUGCAUUAGCUAGUUGGUAAGGUAACGGCUUACCAAGGCAACGAUGCAUAGCCGACCUGAGAGGGUGAUCGGCCACACUGGAACUGAGACACGGUCCAGACUCCUACGAGAGGCAGCAGUAGGGAAUCUUCCGCAAUGGGCGAAAGCCUGACGGAGCAACGCAGCGUGAGUGAUGAAGGUCUUCGGAUCGUAAAACUCUGUUAUUAGGGAAGAACAUAUGUGUAAGUAACUGUGCACAUCUUGACGGUACCUAAUCAGAAAGCCACGGCUAACUACGUG